Molecule: long non-coding RNA, 1212 nt
Filed under: Helianthus annuus (common sunflower)
Lineage: Eukaryota; Viridiplantae; Streptophyta; Magnoliopsida; Asterales; Asteraceae
Description: hypothetical non coding rna
Source: RNAcentral
UUUGUUUUUAAAACAAAAACCUAGCUACUUUCAAAAAAAAAAAAAAAAAAAAAAACAACAGCCACGCAUCAUAACAUUCUCUCCCUCUCGUUUUGAUUCCGGUGAUCGGAGUAGAAUUCCGGCAACCACAGCACACCCAAACCUCUCCUCUGGUUAUACACUCCCUGUAAGACGACGGCGGUGGUGUGGCAGCCUCGGCGGCCGGCGAAGCAACCCCAUGUCUCUCCGGUUCGUGACUUGGGUGAAGGACUAGUCAAGGUAGAGGUGGCUGUGGUUCGAUUCGGUUCCGGCAGGUGACGACGAAGCUGCAGCGACGUGAUGAAGAUGACGGUGGGUCUCGGCAGAAGUUGAAGCUGGUGGUUGUUCCGGCUAGCGGCGCCGGCGACGGAGACGACGACGGCAGCAGGUGGUCCGUGAACUCGUGAAUCACUGGGUCAGUUAUGUCCAUCUGUGGUGUGGUUGACCAACUCAGGACAAACGCUUUAUUUACCGAGGAAAGCAAAGGUCUUUAGGUCCAUAAGGACUGGAACUUGCUAUCUGGGAAGCUGGAGUGGUCAUGGGUCGAGAUACGUGGAAACACAGCACAACGCAGAGAGCUUUUACAUGUGAUUUAUAAACACUUAACGAAUUAAAUAUGCUUCCGCUGUAAACUGUGAACUAUUGUAACACCUACUGUUAAUUAAUGAAAGUUUUAUUUUCAUAUACCUAUGAGUUCAAUGUGAUUAAUGGCUAAGAUCCUGGUACGUCACGCGCCCCGCGGUAUUUCCACAUGUGGUAUUUUGGGGGUGUGACAUAUUCACCUAUCAAUCAAGGUCGCGAGGCGUGUUCGAGAGUAGCGAUUGCGAGUAGCGAGUACACAGCGAGUAAUAUUGCGAGUUGUAUAGCGUAAGUGAGCAUCAUAGCAUGCGAUUUGUUAGCGUAUUGAGAUAGAUGUGCAGUGCGGGUUGUGUGUGAAAGCGAAAAAGCGAAAAGCGUACAAAUCACCAAAAAUCGAAACACAUAAACAUGUAAAACCACAUAAAAUUUCACAUAAAAGCGAUAAAUCACAGAGUCAGCGGUUGCGGAUCCAGAAUCGAAACACGUAAAAUCGGGAAUAGAUUGUCUCGGCUGAUAGACAUCGACUACCCAAAGUGAUUCGACUAUUCUCAAGGACUUUGAGUGCACGUUUCGGCCUAAUAGACUAUUCUUAAGAACUUGUGUGCACAAUAUAUU